This 436-nucleotide ribosomal RNA is filed under the name uncultured bacterium. Its description in RNAcentral is "bacterial SSU rRNA". It matches the Rfam family "Bacterial small subunit ribosomal RNA", at positions 954 to 1392 of the family's 1533-position model. The record is from RNAcentral.
GCAAAACGCGAAGAACCUUACCUACUCUUGACAUCCACGGAACUUUUCAGAGAUGAAUUGGUGCCUUCGGGAACCAUGAGACAGGUGCUGCAUGGCUGUCGUCAGCUCGUGUUGUGAAAUGUUGGGUUAAGUCCCGCAACGAGCGCAACCCUUAUCCUUUGUUGCCAGCGGUCCGGCCGGGAACUCAAAGGAGACUGCCAGUGAUAAACUGGAGGAAGGUGGGGAUGACGUCAAGUCAUCAUGGCCCUUACGAGUAGGGCUACACACGUGCUACAAUGGCGCAUACAAAGAGAAGCGACCUCGCGAGAGCAAGCGGACCUCAUAAAGUGCGUCGUAGUCCGGAUUGGAGUCUGCAACUCGACUCCAUGAAGUCGGAAUCGCUAGUAAUCGUAGAUCAGAAUGCUACGGUGAAUACGUUCCGGUCUUGUACACACCG